Dipodomys ordii (Ord's kangaroo rat) is the source of this 64-nucleotide non-coding RNA. Lineage: Eukaryota; Metazoa; Chordata; Mammalia; Rodentia; Heteromyidae. The record is from Rfam.
GGGAAGUUGGCUCAGUGGUAGAGCGCUUGCCUCACAUGCAUGAGGCCCUGGGUUUGAUUCCUCA